Molecule: non-coding RNA, 113 nt
Organism: Acanthosepion pharaonis
Lineage: Eukaryota; Metazoa; Mollusca; Cephalopoda; Sepiida; Sepiidae
Source: the annotation of a GenBank genome assembly
UUACGGUCAUAUCACGUUGAAACACAAGUUCUCGUAAGAUCACCGAUGUUAAGCAACGUCGAUCCUGGUCACUACCUAGAUGGGUAACCGCUUGCGAAUACUGAGUGAUGUAA